Molecule: long non-coding RNA, 1171 nt
Organism: Lates calcarifer (barramundi perch)
Lineage: Eukaryota; Metazoa; Chordata; Actinopteri; Centropomidae
Exons: 3
Source: RefSeq, a predicted model, not a curated record
GGGCCUGCACACUCUCCCUUUGUUUGCUGCAACAUGUUCAUCUGCAUGUGAUAUUUCCUGAAGUAGACUGAGCAUCCGGUGCAUUAUUUGAAUCCCAAUUCAGAUCCAGCAUCUGUUGGAUGUGCUGGAACACGCCAGGUCCAUGGAGGCCCCACCCUGCAACCCACAGGACCCAAAGGUUACGCUGCCAGUGUCCGGUACCAGACACCACAGGUCAGGACACCCCCAGAGGUCCUGUGUCCAUUCCCCAACAGCUCCACCUCCAGGCCUGACCAUACUCCCAGUCCCUUCGCCUCCAGCUCCAUUCAACACUCCCAGUCUCUACCAGUUUCCUGACCCGGUUUAUCACAGCCACCACACCGAUCUCCUUGACAAUCGACAGGAAGUAGAUGACCUCAGUCAGCUUUAGAUCGGGGCAUUGUGACCCACAGCCUGAUUAUCAGGAGCAGCAGGGACACAAUGAGCCAUGUUUUUCGAGGAAAAAGCCCGUAAACACAUCUACAGGCGAGGAUUGUUUACAGAACCCCGAGGCCUCGAGAUGUGGUGCCAGACAGGCUGAAGAAAAAACAGGCAGACGAGAGCAGCCCGGAGCAAUCGAACAAUGGUCUUUACGGCAUAUUGAAUUGUGGUGAUUGAAAGACAAUGUUACAGCGUGUCGCUGCCUCUAGUCUAAACAACAUAGUCUAAACAGAUCAACAGGUUAUGUGUAUAUUCAGAUUGAAUUUUUAGAUUUUUUUGGCUGCUAAAUGGGAAGAGGAAACAAGUUGUAAACAUUGAUUUAUCAUCACCUUUUAAGCUGAUAUGCCAAAAAGUGUUAGCAAAAACUUGUUAACUUAUUUACUCAUCUAGCAAUUGCAACAUUAUUAUUCUUCUGGAAUGGUAUUUUUUGACCUUUAAGUUAAAUUUAGGCUAAACUACAAACUGAGACUCAAUAUAAAGCACUAAAAAGCUGGAGGGAGUUGCAGAUUUUGGUGGUAAUUCUUUGAAAAUUAAAUUGUACUGAGCUCAAAUAUUAGAUUUUACAUACAACAAGACAUAAUCCCACUAAAUAUUACAAAUACAAUCUUUAUUUAUGUCUUUCCUGUGUGUCAUAGGGUUUCAUUUUUCCUCCUUUGACCACCCUUUGUGCAUUUCCUCACUUUCUUUCAGCUGAUAUGGAAGCAGGAAGUAA